Molecule: unclassified non-coding RNA, 335 nt
Filed under: Hevea brasiliensis (rubber tree)
Lineage: Eukaryota; Viridiplantae; Streptophyta; Magnoliopsida; Malpighiales; Euphorbiaceae
Source: RNAcentral
UAACUUACUUAACUCAGGGAAAGACAACAACCAAUAAAUAUAAUGAUCAAACUCAACUGAACAGAUAAAACAUACUAACUAAGAAUGUUGUAAUGGUGUAAAACAUUCAUCUGACCAAAAGUGGCAACCCAUGUCUCAACAAAUUGAAAGAAAUAGAAAAGCUAAAGGAUUAACAUCUGACUGUCUAUCUAUGAAGCCUUCUAAAACUAAGACGGAUGUUGGAACAGACCUCAUGAUUUUAUUCGAAAUCAGAAAAAUAUUAUUUUUGCAAGAGUUAUCGACUUUUGAGAGUUGCCACUUAAUUUUGAGAAAAUUAAGAAAACUUUUACUUUCAA